This 328-nucleotide ribosomal RNA is filed under the name uncultured Ferruginibacter sp. RNAcentral describes it as "bacterial SSU rRNA". It matches the Rfam family "Bacterial small subunit ribosomal RNA", at positions 568 to 898 of the family's 1533-position model. The record is from RNAcentral. Lineage: Bacteria; Pseudomonadati; Bacteroidota; Chitinophagia; Chitinophagales; Chitinophagaceae.
UGCGUAGGUGGGCCUGUAAGUCAGCGGUGAAAUCUCCGGGCUUAACCCGGAAACUGCCAUUGAUACUAUAGGUCUUGAAUUAUCUGGAGGUAAGCGGAAUAUGUCAUGUAGCGGUGAAAUGCUUAGAUAUGACAUAGAACACCAAUUGCGAAGGCAGCUUACUACGGAUCGAUUGACACUGAGGCACGAAAGCGUGGGGAUCAAACAGGAUUAGAUACCCUGGUAGUCCACGCCCUAAACUAUGGAUACUCGACAUUUGUGAUAUACUAUAAGUGUCUGAGCGAAAGCAUUAAGUAUCCCACCUGGGAAGUACGACCGCAAGGUUGAA